Molecule: long non-coding RNA, 761 nt
Organism: Daphnia pulicaria
Lineage: Eukaryota; Metazoa; Arthropoda; Branchiopoda; Diplostraca; Daphniidae
Exons: 5
Source: RefSeq, a predicted model, not a curated record
UCUUCAGAGACUAAAUUUGGUCUGGUUGCAUAGAUGGCGUGUUGAUUAUUGUGACAAUUAUAUUAUGGGCUUUAUUAUGGCGUUUUGCUGUUAAAAGUUAACUUAAGCUAUCUUUUCUUCGAAAAUUACCAAUGAAUUCAUAGUCUGAUAACUGAAAACUUACAGUCUGAAUGUCGUGCAGCCGGCUUUCAACUAUUUUGUUCAAACUCAUUGUAUUCUACUGAAUGUGCCAUCGAAAUGAUACAGGAUUCAUCUUAAUUAUCGGCUGUUUCUAUUGGACUUGCUAGAUCACCAACCCCAGCAUGGACCAAUCUCUCAUUCCAGCUUCUAGAGAAUCUUGGAUAACUGAUUGGCGGUUUCAUGUGCAAGUUCACUUGUCAUGUCAGUCUUAUAUGUUUUAAAAGAUCUAAACUCCAGGUUCCUAAAUUUGCAUGGCAGACUUUAUGAGAAUUCAUGUCCUUUCAAGUAAGUCAACAAGGUCACUUGUGUACUAACCUGUUGGCUGCUACCCUUGAAUCUCCCUUUUUACUUUCUAAAGCGGGCCAUCUUAAUUUGAGGGUAAUCCUUCACUACUUUUCAUGGACUUCAUCCACUGGUGAAAACCGACGAGCGAAUGCUGUAAUCCAUGACUGAUAAAUUGUUUAAUCGUUAGAUUAAAUUAUAAGUGCAUAUCUGGGCUCCCUUCUUUUCUGUGGCCCCGUUUCCCUAACUAACCACUAACCAACGCCCACCGGUGGUCACUCACCCGCUGUGAAACCAGG